CCCAAUUGAUUGAUGGUGCUUGCACCUGAUUGAUUUUGGUUGCCAACGAGUGGCGGACGGGUGAGUAACACGUAGGUAACCUGCCCAGAAGCGGGGGACAACAUUUGGAAACAGAUGCUAAUACCGCAUAACAGCGUUGUUCGCAUGAACAACGCUUAAAAGAUGGCUUCUCGCUAUCACUUCUGGAUGGACCUGCGGUGCAUUAGCUUGUUGGUGGGGUAACGGCCUACCAAGGCGAUGAUGCAUAGCCGAGUUGAGAGACUGAUCGGCCACAAUGGGACUGAGACACGGCCCAUACUCCUACGGGAGGCAGCAGUAGGGAAUCUUCCACAAUGGGCGCAAGCCUGAUGGAGCAACACCGCGUGAGUGAAGAAGGGUUUCGGCUCGUAAAGCUCUGUUGUUAAAGAAGAACACGUAUGAGAGUAACUGUUCAUACGUUGACGGUAUUUAACCAGAAAGUCACGGCUAACUACGUGCCAGCAGCCGCGGUAAUACGUAGGUGGCAAGCGUUAUCCGGAUUUAUUGGGCGUAAAGAGAGUGCAGGCGGUUUUCUAAGUCUGAUGUGAAAGCCUUCGGCUUAACCGGAGAAGUGCAUCGGAAACUGGAUAACUUGAGUGCAGAAGAGGGUAGUGGAACUCCAUGUGUAGCGGUGGAAUGCGUAGAUAUAUGGAAGAACACCAGUGGCGAAGGCGGCUACCUGGUCUGCAACUGACGCUGAGACUCGAAAGCAUGGGUAGCGAACAGGAUUAGAUACCC
This 756-nucleotide ribosomal RNA is filed under the name uncultured bacterium. RNAcentral's name for it is "bacterial SSU rRNA". It matches the Rfam family "Bacterial small subunit ribosomal RNA", at positions 57 to 787 of the family's 1533-position model. The record is from RNAcentral.